GCAACCCUCAUUGUUAGUUACUACCAUUCAGUUGAGGACUCUAAUGAGACUGCCAACGACAAGUUGGAGGAAGUGGGGAUGACGUCAAAUCAUCAUGCCCUUUAUGACCUGGGCUACAAACGUACUACAAUGGCCAAUACAAAGAGAUGCGAAGCGGUGACGUGGAGCGAACCUCAGAAAGUUGGUCUCAGUUCAGAUUGAAGUCUGUAACUCGACUUCAUGAAGGCGGAAUCGCUAGUAAUCGCGGGUCAGCAGACCGCGGUGAAUACGUUCCCGGGUUUU
Molecule: ribosomal RNA, 282 nt
Filed under: uncultured Mollicutes bacterium
Lineage: Bacteria; Bacillati; Mycoplasmatota; Mollicutes
Description: partial 16S ribosomal RNA
Rfam family: Bacterial small subunit ribosomal RNA
Source: RNAcentral